GAUGAACGCUGACAGAAUGCUUAACACAUGCAAGUCAUUGGCGAAGCUGCGCUUGCGCAGUCUAGCCAAGGCGGACGGGUGAGUAACGCGUAAGGAACUUGCCCUGCAGACAGGGAUAACAGACGGAAACGACUGAUAACACCUGGUAUUGUCAGGCUGGCGCAUGCCGGCCUGAUGAAAGGAGACGCUGCAGGAGAGCCUUGCGUCCUAUUAGCUAGUUGGUGGGGUAACGGCCCACCAAGGCGAUGAUAGGUAGCCGGCCUGAGAGGGUGAACGGCCACAAGGGGACUGAGAUACGGCCCUUACUCCUACGGGAGGCAGCAGUGGGGAAUAUUGGACAAUGGGGGCAACCCUGAUCCAGCAAUUCUGUGUGCACGAAGAAGGUUUUCGGAUUGUAAAGUGCUUUCAGCAGGGAAGAAGAAAGUGACGGUACCUGCAGAAGAAGCGACGGCUAAAUACGUGC
Molecule: ribosomal RNA, 463 nt
Filed under: uncultured bacterium
Lineage: Bacteria
Description: partial 16S ribosomal RNA
Rfam family: Bacterial small subunit ribosomal RNA
Source: RNAcentral